GAUACUCCCCCCGGGAAAACUACAUAUCAUAAGCGGAGGACAAGAAACCAACAGGGAUUGCCCCAGUAACGGCGAGUGAAGCGGCAACAGCUCAAAUUUGAAAUCUGGCUCUUUUAGAGUCCGAGUUGUAAUUUGCAGAGGGCGCUUUGGCUUUGGCAGCGGUCCAAGUUCCUUGGAACAGGACGUCACAGAGGGUGAGAAUCCCGUACGUGGUCGCUGGCUAUUGCCGUGUAAAGCCCCUUCGACGAGUCGAGUUGUUUGGGAAUGCAGCUCUAAAUGGGAGGUACAUUUCUUCUAAAGCUAAAUAUUGGCCAGAGACCGAUAGCGCACAAGUAGAGUGAUCGAAAGAUGAAAAGCACUUUGGAAAGAGAGUCAAACAGCACGUGAAAUUGUUGAAAGGGAAGCGCUUGCAGCCAGACUUGCUUGCAGUUGCUCAUCCGGGCUUUUGCCCGGUGCACUCUUCUGCAGGCAGGCCAGCAUCAGUUUGGGCGGUAAGAUAAAGGUCUCUGUCACGUACCUCUCUUCGGGGAGGCCUUAUAGGGGAGACGACAUAUUACCAGCCUGGACUGAGGUCCGCGCAUCUGCUAGGAUGCUGGCGUAAUGGCUGUAAGCGGCCCGUCUUGAAACACGGACCAAGGAGUCUAACAUCUAUGCGAGUGUUUGGGUGUCAAGCCCGAGCGCGUAAUGAAAGUGAACGGAGGUAGGAACCCGCAAGGGUGCACUAUCGACCGAUCCUGAUGUCUUCGGAAGGAUUUGAGUAAGAGCAUGGCUGUUGGGACCCGAAAGAUGGUGAACUAUGCUUGAAUAGGGUGAAGCCAGAGGAAACUCUGGUGGAGGCUCGCAGCGGUUCUGACGUGCAAAUCGAUCGUCAAAUUUGGGCAUAGGGGCGAAAGACUAAUCGAACAUCAGUGCAC
This 914-nucleotide ribosomal RNA is filed under the name Alternaria sp. Its description in RNAcentral is "partial large subunit ribosomal RNA". It matches the Rfam family "Eukaryotic large subunit ribosomal RNA", at positions 24 to 951 of the family's 3401-position model. Lineage: Eukaryota; Fungi; Ascomycota; Dothideomycetes; Pleosporales; Pleosporaceae. The record is from RNAcentral.